CAGAGUGAAACAGGAGUGCUUUAUGGUCUGAGUGGAGUGUUUGGGAGGAGUGCCUCCCGGCUCCUGCCUUCGGGCUCACCUGAGCGGGGGCGCAGCUGAGGCCACUGUGGGAAACACAACCCCCACUCCCAGGAGAGGCCUCACAUGCUGCCUUCGGUCUCGCCAGCCUUCUAGCGUGGGGCCUGGGCCGCCCUUUAGGGUGAGUCUGCACACCCGUGUUCAGGGCUCCCGGCCGGAAGCGGAACCAUAGGCAUGCUGCGGCCCCAGAUGAGCGCGGAGGGCAAGCAGGUGCCGGGGCAGCGCACACCCCACAGCCAAGCGGCCCCUGCCCAGCCUCUGUAAACAGACCCUCACAGGUCCCUCCUGGGCCUCAGUCACAUCCCUGAGAAACACUGGCGGCUCUGCCCCGAGAGGGCCAGGGUGUCCACCGAGCCUGGCUGAAGCCAGCUGUCCCCUCCCUUCUUGCAGAGCAGGCUCACACUGGGCCUGAAGGCCCAGCACCUGCAGGGCCCAGCCUGGGGACCACCAAUGCCCGGCCUCUUCCAGCUCAGAAGCGCACACGGCAGCCACGGGGCAGCGGCAAAGGCGAUGGUACAGAGGCAAAUGCCUCCCCAGGCAGUGACAGGCACGCCCCCCGCCCCAGGGCGGCCACUGCCCACGCCGGCCUAGAGCUCCUCGUAGUCGCCACCCCCAGGGUGGCGGCCUAGAGAUGAUGCUGCGCCGUGGGGCGGGGGCUGAGGGGCACGCAGGUGGGGGCAGGGCCUCUGAGGGUGGUACAGGGGGCACAGAGGAUGGUGGGGCGGCAUUGAGGGGCAGCUGUGGGGCGGGCUGGGGUGUGCCGGGGCUGGAGCUCCCCGUGGACACAGCGCCUGCAGGCACCACUGGUGACUGGGAGCCCGGGGAUGGGCUCUGCCCGUUGGCCGCCAGUGGGGACGCAUGGCCACGGCUGCGAGCCUCCAUCAUCUCCAGGAAGAUGCCGUAGUUCUGGUCCUCCGUCUCCUGCUGCACCGACAGCUCCUCCAGCGUGGCGUCCAUGUCCAGCUGGUUCGUCUCCAGCUGCCGCAACAGCGUCUCCCUCUGAAGCUGCAAAAAUGGGAUAUUGAAGAACUUAUGAAGGUACUUUAGGCCGAAGCUGUUCUUCAUGGAAGACUCAGCAUAGCGGAAGUAGGAGGAACCUGGAGGUCUGUCCAGGUUGUCGAUGAAGUCACGCACGUCGUCCGGCAGGAUGACUCGGUGCUCGCCCAUGUCCCGGUAGUUUCCCAGCACGCACACUGGCACGUGGGUGGGCACUUUUGGAAGCUCCCGGAGAAUGUAAUUGAAGGUCCACUGCUUGGUAAUGUCGAACAUCAUGACCACCCCGUUGCAGUUCUUGUACACGUCCAGGAACUCAGCAUCCAGGGCCAUUUCAGACUCCGCCUCCUGGGGGUCGUUCUCCAUCUUUAAGCCGUCGCCUCGCUUUUUGCAUUUUCCUUUGUCUACUACAUCCCAGACUUCAACCUUCACGAUGUCAUCCGUGGUCUUGUAGCUCCAGUGGAUGCUGGUGACCUGGAUCUCCUGUGUGGGGAUGUACUCCUCCACGAACGGCCGGCCCUGCAGGCGGUGCCACAGCGCUGUCUUGCCCGUGUUCCUGUCUCCCCGGAUCACUAUCUUCAGGUGAGUGGUGCCCGGGGCUGGGCACCGUGGAGCGUCGGGGGCGCGGCGCCCCGGGCCGGCGGGCCCUGCUUGGCAUUAUGUAAUCACCCCCGGGCCGGGCAGCCGGGCCAACCCCGCCGCCGCCGACCCGCUCCACUGCACAGCGCGGCGGGAGCGACACGCGGCAGGCGAGUGCGGCUGGGAAACGACCCGCGGCUCGGGGGCCGCGAGGACCCGGCCCUGGCCUGGCCUCUCCUCGCGUCCCCUGGCCCGCGCCCCCGCUCCCGGAGCGCCCGGCGGGCCCAGCGCACCCCACAACCGGCAAGCAGGUGAGACCGACACCCACCACCGCGCGGCGCCCGGGGCCUGGGUUCGGAGACCCGCGCGGCGCUCCCGCGCCCCCCCGGCCCGCCGCACUCACUUCCUGCAGGUACAACUGAUGCACCCUGUAGCCCCGCUGUCCCUCCAGGAUGUCCCGGUGGGAUGGGAGCCGGCGCCACCCCGACCUGUGUUCCAGCCACCCGCCUGCAGCCCGGGCCCCAGUUCCGGGGCCUGUACCGAUCAUAUCCUCCUCCCGGUUCUCAAAGCUGAUCCUGGUGUUGUACUUCUCCAUCAGAGUCGAGGACUCCAGGGUGUCCCUCACCUUUGUGUCGCCCUGCAGGGCAAAGCCCCCUUCAGCCGUGCAGACACUCUGAACGGGAGCCUGUCAGCUUUGAGGGGACGUGGGCUGUGCAGGUUCCUCCCAGCCCGGGGCUACCUCCUCGGUCCUGGACACCAUCUGCACUCUGUCAGCCAGCAUGUCUGUCAUUUUCUUCUCAACGGACUUGAAGCUGCAGAAGGCAAUAGGGACACAGCAGUGAGGGGCACAGGCCCGAGAGCCAUGGUGGGCCACCCAGGAGCCCAGUCCUGAGUUGGGUGCUGUGCCAGAAUCAGGGACUCAGAAGCUCAGCUCCAGGUUCUCCUCCGUGUUCCUCUGGGCCAGGAAGCGGCUAGUGAUGUCCUGGCCAGUCCGGGGGAGAGAGAAGCAGAGUGCCUCAGACCCCAGCCCAGCUCAGCCACCCUCCUGCCAUGCUCCGGGAGUGCCAGGGAGCAUUACCCAGACGUGAGAGGCUCAGCCACCCUCCUGCCAUUCUCUGGGAGCGCCAGGGGCAUUACCCAGACGUGAGAGCACCGUACAGCACUCUUGACCUUCUCCACCACAGCAGUCACGCCCGACUGGUAUUCCAUUUCUGCUGUGGAGGUCUCUUUUCUCCUCACUGGCAGAGCAGAGGGGAGGGGCAGUCAGCAUGCAGGGAUGGCUCAGGGGCUCUGUGUAAGGCUGUCAGACACCUCUGUACCUGCCCAGCUGCUGGGGCGGCCACCCAAGACACAGGCAUCCUUCAGAGAUGCCUGCCCCCGCCCCAACCUGCUCCCUCCUCAGCCCAGCCCUGCAGGGACGCCCCAGGCAGCCCCAGAGCAGAGGUGGACCCGGAGUGAGUGGCGCAGCACUGUGAGCACUGUGGGCCCGGUGGUGCUUCUCAGAGGCAGCUUAGGGGUCAGGAUGCUCAUCCUCUGCAGAGUCACUGGGGACUGGGCCCUUGGUGCAGGGCCCUUGGGUGCUGGGGCCAGCAUCUCUGAGGCCACAUUUGGCUACAGGCUCUCAGCCUCUGGAGGGAGAGGCAGGGACCUGUCCUUCCCUUCACCCUGGCGACCACAUGUCACACCUGGCCUCAGGGUGACUUGAUCCGUUGGCCUGAAUCAGUGCCAGCCUCUCCUUGGGACCCUGGCUGGGGGCAGGUGGGGAGCUGAGCGCUUACAUUUCAGGGUCUCCGUGCUCAUCAGGUUCGAGGGGAAGUCCAAGUCCAUCUGGCCCUGAUGGGAGGUGGGGGCGGGGAAGGGAUGAGACAUCCUUGGCAGGGAGUGGGCCCUGAGUGGUGGCCCUGAGCCUGUGUCCACCCAGCUGUCAUGGGGAUGGGCAGCCAGCCAGGCCCUGGCCUGGGGCUUACCCGGCGGUACUUCUCGCUGGUCUCCUUCGUGUGGAUCUUGUCGAUCAGCUUCUUCUGCUGGUUGAGCCGGUUCUCCCUUGCCCGGCGCUCCUCGAUGAAGGACGCCUCCCUUUGCCUCAUGUUCCUCUGGGGACAUGCGGGUGGGCACAGGGUUGGGGAGCUGUCUCAACAAGGCCCCUAAUGGCAGUAAAGCCAGCGGGCGGUUGGCCAUGCUCACCUUACUAGACUUUGGAACUGCAUCCCCGGCCAAUGGCCACACCCUUUUCCUAAACCACUUGUGCCCGUGGCCCCUCAGCUCACGGCCCUCCUUGCCCAUGCCUCAGAGCAUGUGCCAGCCCAGACGCUCUGCUGCCCUCCAGCCGCUGGCCCCCAGCUGCCUCCUGGCCAGGUCCACCUAGAACUCACGGAAGUGCAUUCAGCCUGCCUGAAGACAGAUUCAUCCUCUUCCCCAAAACCUGGCCUCUUCCAGCGUGCCCUUGGGCAGCUAAAACCGUCAUCUGCUAACCCCUGCUCACGCACCCCAGACACUGCUCUCACCCUCGCCACUCUCGUUGCCAGCGCUUAGUGGGGUUGCCUCUUGAGGAGUUCUCAGCUCCGUUGCUCCUGGCCACCCCUUCUCCACCCCGGGUAUACCCAGGUGAUCAGCGCUUCUGCCCUGGCACCUUCCAGUCCCUGCAGCCUGAGUACACCCUUUCUGAAGCACAGACCUGGUCACAUCUUUCCUCCACCUCCUCCCAGGGCUCCAGGUCAGUCCUUGGGCCCCCAGCCCAGCCGCCUCCGUGGACUCCUGGGGCCUGUGCCUCUGCAGCCUCCACUGCCCUGGCCACACGCUGCUCCAUGUAUCACACCCCUCCCAGCCCAGGGCCUUUUCCCAAGUUGUACCUCCUCCUCCCUAGCCCUGGCCACACCUGACCUUUGCGGGUUCAAUCCCUCAGCCCAGCUCAAGCACUGUCUUCCUGGAAAGCCAUCUGCCACCCCACCUGUCUCUGCUGAGCUGGCUCAGGGGCUGUGUGGCAUUUCUUCAUGGACUACUGGAUGAGUGCCACCCACUUCAGGAGGACAGGGUCUGCCUGUCCCGGUCCCUGCUGUAUCCCCAGAGCCUUGCAGGGACCUUGGCACAGACUGGGUGAAUAGGUGACCCCCGCCCUGGCCCGGCCAGUUCUCUCCCUCUCCUCUACUUCAUGGCUCCUGUGCUGGAUGGGACCUGCUCUGUCCAGUGGGUGAGCAGAGCAGGCUGGCCGGGCUGGCCACUGGAUCCUUCUGGGGAUUGUAGGCAGUGUGGGCAUGGGGGUCUCCUGAGAGACCCUGGCCAGAAGACACAAGAGAGCCCGCCCUGGGGGGCCCCAGCCCUGGGCCCUGAGCUCACCUUGACCCCAUCCGAAGAUCCAAGAGGGCUGGCCCUGGGGGGCCCCCAGCCCUGGGCCCUGAGCUCACCUUGACCCCAUCCGAAGAUCCAAGAGGGCUGGCCCUGGGGGGCCCCAGCCCUGGGCCCUGAGCUCACCUUGACCCCAUCCGAAGAUCCAAGAGGGCUGGCCCUGGGGGGCCCCCGGCCCUGGGCCCUGAGCUCACCUUGACCCCAUCCGAAGAUCCAAGAGGGCUGGCCCUGGGGGGCCCCCAGCCCUGGGCCCUGAGCUCACCUUGACCCCAUCCGAAGAUCCAAGAGGGCUGGCCCUGGGGGGCCCCCGGCCCUGGGCCCUGAGCUCACCUUGACCCCAUCCGAAGAUCCAAGAGGGCUGGCCCUGGGGGGCCCCCAGCCCUGGGCCCUGAGCUCACCUUGACCCCAUCCGAAGAUCCAAGAGGGCUGGCCCUGGGGGGCCCCCAGCCCUGGGCCCUGAGCUCACCUUGACCUCAUCCGUGAUCAUCAUGGCAUCUUGGGACAUGAUCUUCAUAUCCGACAGCUCUGAGCAGUAGUUGACCACGAGGUUCUGCAGCUUGUCCAGCUCAAUGGGGUAUCCUGCCAGCACCUGUGUUGAAUGGGGUUCUCUUGUGGCCCCUACAGAGUGGGCUGCAGUUGCCCCGAGCUUUUAUCCCCCGACUAAGAGCCCUGAGAACAGUGAUAGGUUCUCCUCUGUGGCCCCAGCCACCUCCCCCACUCCCCGCUGGGCACAACGGUGAUGAAAGGUGUUUCACAGGGAGUGGACAGUGCUGGCCUGGUGGACUCUUUCACCACCUAGGGUCCAACAACCCAGAGAGACUGAGAGAGUUUGUGAUGAAAUGCUCUGCAGAAAAGGCUGACUGAAACCCGGGGAGGUUUGGGGACAGUUCUGCUUUGAAGUGAAACAGAGGGGCUCAAGACAUGGGCUUGGGGUCAGAGAGUCAGGAUUCAAGGCCAAGGCAGCUUCUGACCAGCUAGUUUAGCUGUGUGACAUUGGGAAAGUUACUUAAUCUCUCUGUGUCCCCAUUUGUAAGAUGAUGGCUCGUUCAGAAGGUUGCCAUCAGGAUGAAUUGAGUGUAAAAGGAAUUAUUUAGCCCAGAACCAGGUACAUACGUGCUCAGGAUAGCUUUGCUAUAGUGGUUUGUUUUUUGUAACUACAAGUAUAGGCCAGGUGCGGUGGCUCACGCCUGUAAUCCCAACACUGGGAGGCCGGAGGCAGGCAGAUCAUGAGGUCAGGAGUUAGAGACCAGCCUGGCCAACAUAGUGAAACCCUGUCUCUACUAAAAAUACAAAAAAAAUCAGCCGGGCGUGGUAGUGGGCGCCUGUAAUUCUAGCUAUUCGGGAGGCUGAGGCAGGAGAAUCGCUUGAACCCGGGAGGCGGAGGUUGCAGUGAGCCGAGAUCUCACCACUGCACACCAGCUGGGGCAACAGUGUGAAACUCCAUCUCAAAAAACAAAACAAACAAAAACAAAACUAGAAGUGUAGAAUCUUCAUUUUUAAAAAUAUGGAUGACUAUGGGA
RNAcentral lists this long non-coding RNA (6512 nucleotides) under Homo sapiens (human). RNAcentral's name for it is "HSALNT0355486". Lineage: Eukaryota; Metazoa; Chordata; Mammalia; Primates; Hominidae. The record is from RNAcentral.